GUGUCAGCCGCCGCGGUAAUACGUAGGUGGCAAGCGUUGUCCGGAUUUAUUGGGUUUAAAGGGUGCGUAGGCGGUCAGAUAAGUCAGUGGUGAAAUACGGCAGCUUAACUGUCGAGGUGCCAAUGAUACUGUUUGACUAGAGUACUGAUGAGGUAGGCGGAAUGGACGGUGUAGCGGUGAAAUGCUUAGAGAUCGUCCAGAACACCGAUAGCGAAGGCAGCUUACUAAGGAGUAACUGACGCUGAGGCACGAAAGUGUGGGGAUCAAACAGGAUUAGAUACCCUGGUAGUCCACACUGUAAACGAUGAUUACUCGAUGUGUGCGAUACACGGCACGCGUCUUAGCAAAAGCGAUAAGUAAUCCACCUGGGGAGUACGCCGGCAACGGUGAA
RNAcentral lists this ribosomal RNA (391 nucleotides) under uncultured bacterium. RNAcentral's name for it is "bacterial SSU rRNA". It matches the Rfam family "Bacterial small subunit ribosomal RNA", at positions 505 to 898 of the family's 1533-position model. The record is from RNAcentral.